GACGAACGCUGGCGGCGUGCCUAAUACAUGCAAGUUGAGCGAUGAAGAUUGGUGCUUGCACCAAUUUGAAGAGCAGCGAACGGGUGAGUAACGCGUGGGGAAUCUGCCUUUGAGCGGGGGACAACAUUUGGAAACGAAUGCUAAUACCGCAUAACAACUUUAAACAUAAGUUUUAAGUUUGAAAGAUGCAAUUGCAUCACUCAAAGAUGAUCCCGCGUUGUAUUAGCUAGUUGGUGAGGUAAAGGCUCACCAAGGCGAUGAUACAUAGCCGACCUGAGAGGGUGAUCGGCCACAUUGGGACUGAGACACGGCCCAAACUCCUACGGGAGGCAGCAGUAGGGAAUCUUCGGCAAUGGACGAAAGUCUGACCGAGCAACGCCGCGUGAGUGAAGAAGGUUUUCGGAUCGUAAAGCUCUGUUGGUAGAGAAGAACGUUGGUGAGAGUGGAAAGCUCAUCAAGUGACGGUAACUACCCAGAAAGGGACGGCUAACUACGUG
RNAcentral lists this ribosomal RNA (497 nucleotides) under uncultured bacterium. Its description in RNAcentral is "partial 16S ribosomal RNA". It matches the Rfam family "Bacterial small subunit ribosomal RNA", at positions 28 to 507 of the family's 1533-position model. The record is from RNAcentral.